Molecule: transfer RNA, 71 nt
Filed under: Heterocephalus glaber (naked mole-rat)
Lineage: Eukaryota; Metazoa; Chordata; Mammalia; Rodentia; Bathyergidae
Rfam family: tRNA
About the family: Transfer RNA (tRNA) molecules are approximately 80 nucleotides in length. Their secondary structure includes four short double-helical elements and three loops (D, anti-codon, and T loops).
Source: Rfam by way of RNAcentral
GGGAAUAUAGCUCAGUUGUAGAGCAUGCUUGCCUAGCAUGCAAAUGACCCUGGUUUCAAUCCCCAGUACCA